AGCUUUAUUCAGUGGCGGUACGUAGCCCAUGAGUUUUAUCCGAGGCGUAAUUAUUGCUAAUUGAAAACUUUAUACAAUACCCUGCCUUGAUGACUUGAAAUAUAGUCAGCUAUGGCAAUUAUUGAUAGUCUCCAUUGAAC
Nerophis ophidion (straightnose pipefish) is the source of this 140-nucleotide small nuclear RNA. RefSeq annotates it as U4 spliceosomal RNA. NCBI's taxonomy places the organism in Eukaryota, Metazoa, Chordata, Actinopteri, Syngnathiformes, Syngnathidae. The record is from RefSeq and is a predicted model, not a curated record. The transcript has a single exon.